This 768-nucleotide long non-coding RNA is filed under the name Mytilus galloprovincialis (Mediterranean mussel). Lineage: Eukaryota; Metazoa; Mollusca; Bivalvia; Mytilida; Mytilidae. The record is from RNAcentral.
CUUUUUUUUACUCAUUUGCACUGCUUUGAUAUUUUAUAUAUAAGUUAUUUUUUGUAGUAAUUUUGAAAUUUGUCUUUUAUUUUAAUAUUCUUGUCAUAAGUUGAAGUUAAAUUAAUCCGUGUCAAUUACAAAUCCUUUCAAGAUGAUAGAAGUUCUUUGGAGCAGUUGUAACGCAUUUACAGAAACUGUCUGUUUUGAACUAUAAAAAGGCCUUAACAAUAGAAUAAUAUCAAAGACUUGAUAAGAACACGUGUUACAUUCAUUCCUCACAAUAAAGCAGCACCAGUUCCUAGAAUUUCAUUCACCGAUUACACUUUGCUAUAUUCUAACUAAGUUAAUACUUGCUUUUCAAUUUUCUUUUAAGUAUGCGUGUUAAUAACACAAAAAGAACAUAGUGUUUGUUAAUAUAUGUGCAAUGCGGCAAUUAAUGUGUUUUCAGUAUUCUAAAAAUAUCUGAAAAUCAACCCUUUGUUUAACCUACAAGGGGAACACGUAAAUGGUUAUUAAGAUACAUGUAAUGAUUUUUUUUACCUUAUGCUAUACAUAUAACGAUAUUGUUGGUGCCAAAUGAGUUAUAAAGGAAACCCUUAAAGACUGGUUAUUGCAUGUCAUUAGCAAAUAUCAUGAACACAGAUUAAAUAUCUUUGAAAACAUUCAACUGUAUAUCAAUAAAAAAAUGAAGAAGAAUAAUAGAACAAUAUCUUAAUUUUGUUCUCAGAAAAUUCUGAUUUAAAUAAACAAAGGGUGUGUUUGUUAAAAAAGGGAGAA